Molecule: ribosomal RNA, 479 nt
Filed under: uncultured bacterium
Lineage: Bacteria
Description: partial 16S ribosomal RNA
Rfam family: Bacterial small subunit ribosomal RNA
Source: RNAcentral
GACGAACGCUGGCGGCGUGCUUAACACAUGCAAGUCGAACGGAAAGGCCCUGCUUGCAGGGUACUCGAGUGGCGAACGGGUGAGUAACACGUGGGUGAUCUGCCCUGCACUUCGGGAUAAGCCUGGGAAACUGGGUCUAAUACCGGAUAGGACCAUCGUUUAGUGUCGGUGGUGGAAAGUUUUUCGGUGCAGGAUGAGCUCGCGGCCUAUCAGCUUGUUGGUGGGGUAAUGGCCUACCAAGGCGUCGACGGGUAGCCGGCCUGAGAGGGUGGACGGCCACAUUGGGACUGAGACACGGCCCAGACUCCUACGGGAGGCAGCAGUGGGGAAUAUUGCGCAAUGGGCGGAAGCCUGAUGCAGCGACGCCGCGUGGGGGAUGACGGCCUUCGGGUUGUAAACUCCUUUCAACCAUGACGAAGCUUUUGUGACGGUAGUGGUAGAAGAAGCACCGGCUAACUACGUGCCAGCAGCCGCGGUAA